GAGGAAUUUUGGGCAAUGGGCGAAAGCCUGACCCAGCAACGCCGCGUCAGGGAAGAAGGCUUUCGGAUUGUAAACCUCUGUCCUCAGCGAAGAGCAAGAGACGGUAACUGAGGAGGAAGCCCCGGCUAACUACGUGCCAGCAGCCGCGGUAAUACGUAGGGGGCGAGCGUUGUCCGGAAUGAUUGGGCGUAAAGGGCGCGUAGGCGGCCUGUUAAGUCUGGAGUGAAAGUCCUGCCUUCAAGGUGGGAAUUGCUUUGGAUACUGGCGGGCAUGAGUGCAGGAGAGGUUAUCGGAAUUCCCGGUGUAGCGGAGAAAUGCGUAGAGAUCGGGAGGAACACCAGUGGCGAAGGCGGGUAACUGGACUGCAACUGACGCUGAGGCGCGAAAGUGUGGGGAGCAAACA
This 403-nucleotide ribosomal RNA is filed under the name uncultured bacterium. Its description in RNAcentral is "bacterial SSU rRNA". It matches the Rfam family "Bacterial small subunit ribosomal RNA", at positions 356 to 774 of the family's 1533-position model. The record is from RNAcentral.